UCAUCAUCCAUCCUCUGAAAGACAGCAGGUUGCCAGACGAUCAUUGGGUGAGCUAGUCAGCAAACUUGGUGAAUGUGUGCUCCCCUUGAUAAUCCCAAUGUUAUCCCAGGGCUUGAGUGACCCUAACAGCAGCAGAAGACAGUUUGCUUGAGGUUCGUGAAUCAGCUGGCUUGCAUUCUACACUCUUUUAUAAGGAGGAUGAUGAAACUUCCGAUACUACACUUGAUGGCCUUAAAUAAAUUCUAAGGUCCUGGCCUUAACUUUCAUCUUGGUCCUGUGCUUCCUCCUUUGCUAUCAACAAUGGGCGAUGAAGACAAGGAGAUUCAAACUUCAGCUAAGGAACAGUGGUUUUGGUCAUUGAUGAGGAAGGUGUAGAGUCACUCAUAUAAGAGCUUGUGAAAGGUGUUAAUGACGCAGAUAUAUUUGUUGAAAUUGGAAUGGGUCAAAUGGAUCACUAUGGAAUGAUUUUGAAGCAGCCAUGCUGAAAGAUACUUCUGCUUAUUAUUCUCUAAAGGCUUCAAAUUGGAUCCUAGAAGAUUCUUGUUCUGAUUAUAUGCUGAAGGCCGAGGAAUGCUUAAAACGAGAGAAAGAUAGGGUUGCUUAUUACUAGCAAUCCAGUAAUAAGCCAAAGCUGUUUUGGUCUUCACACAAGAACAAUUUUCUUGUUCUUCAAAUCUCAAAUUUUGACUUUUUCUUUGACUAUGGCUUUAAUGAUGUGUAUGUUGUAUUUUUCAAAAAAUAAAUUUUAUUUUUUUGUUGACAAAUGUGAUGGAAG
Arachis stenosperma is the source of this 775-nucleotide long non-coding RNA. RefSeq lists it as uncharacterized. NCBI's taxonomy places the organism in Eukaryota, Viridiplantae, Streptophyta, Magnoliopsida, Fabales, Fabaceae. The record is from RefSeq and is a predicted model, not a curated record. The transcript has 8 exons.